Molecule: long non-coding RNA, 191 nt
Organism: Oenanthe melanoleuca
Lineage: Eukaryota; Metazoa; Chordata; Aves; Passeriformes; Muscicapidae
Exons: 3
Source: RefSeq, a predicted model, not a curated record
CCCAGUCCAUCCCAGUCCAUCCCAGUCCCAUCCCAGUCCCUCCCAGUCCCUCCCAGUUCCAUCCCAGUCCCUCCCAGUGUGUCCUAGUCCCAUCCCAGUCCAUCCCAGUCCCUCCCAGUUCCAUCCCAGUCCAUCCCAGUCCAUCCCAGUCCCAUCCCAGUCCCAUCCCAGUGUGUCCCAGUGCCCCCCAG